AAAAUGUUUUACAAUGUACGGGCCACAAGAGAAAUAUUAAGGGAAUAAAUUCAAACAGUUAGCCAUAUACCGUAAUCAGCAUAUUUUGAAGUAGAUUCGUCUCUCGUUGUCUCUGAGAG
This is a long non-coding RNA of Sinocyclocheilus grahami, 119 nucleotides long. RefSeq lists it as uncharacterized. The record is from RefSeq and is a predicted model, not a curated record. NCBI's taxonomy places the organism in Eukaryota, Metazoa, Chordata, Actinopteri, Cypriniformes, Cyprinidae. The transcript is spliced from 3 exons.